Molecule: ribosomal RNA, 253 nt
Filed under: uncultured bacterium
Lineage: Bacteria
Description: partial 16S ribosomal RNA
Rfam family: Bacterial small subunit ribosomal RNA
Source: RNAcentral
UACGGAGGGUGCAAGCGUUAUCCGGAUUCACUGGGUUUAAAGGGUGCGUAGGUGGGUAGGUAAGUCAGCGGUGAAAUCCCCGAGCUUAACUUGGGAACUGCCAUUGAUGCUAUCUGUCUUGAAUACCUUGGAGGUGAGCGGAAUAUGUCAUGUAGCGGUGAAAUGCUUAGAUAUGACAUAGAACACCAAUUGCGAAGGCAGCUCACUACACGGUCAUUGACACUGAGGCACGAAAGCGUGGGGAUCAAACAGG